CGCCUCUUGAAUAAAAAUAAGAGGUCCAGCCUGCCCAGUGACUAAUGUUCAACGGCCGCGGUAUCCUGACCGUGCGAAGGUAGCGCAAUCACUUGUUCUUUAAAUGGGGACUAGUAUGAACGGCACCACGAGGGUUAUACUGUCUCCUUUUUCCAAUCAGUGAACCUAAUCUCCCCGUGAAGAAACGGGGAUACAUCUAUAAGACGAGAAGACCCUAUGGAGCUUUAAAUACCCCUUCAAACGUCCGAUCCCAAUUUUAUAAACACCUACAUUAACCCUGAACGCCAUGAAGAUAACUUUAGGUUGGGGUGACCGCGGAGAACAACACAACCUCCACGCUGAAUCAGACUCUUAAAGCCUGAGCCAAGAGCCACUGCUCAACGCACUAAGAAAUUAACACUUAUUGACCCAAUAUACCAUUUGAUCAACGAACCAAGUUACCCUAGGGAUAACAGCGCAAUCCAUUUCAAGAGUCCGUAUCGACAAAUGGGUUUACGACCUCGAUGUUGGAUCAGGGUAUCCCAGUGGUGCAGCCGCUACUAAUGGUUCGUUUGUUCAACGAUUAAAACCC
Molecule: ribosomal RNA, 571 nt
Filed under: Scinax fuscomarginatus (brown-bordered snouted treefrog)
Lineage: Eukaryota; Metazoa; Chordata; Amphibia; Anura; Hylidae
Description: partial 16S ribosomal RNA
Rfam family: Bacterial large subunit ribosomal RNA
Source: RNAcentral